UACGUAGGAGGCAAGCGUUGUCCGGAUUUACUGGGCGUAAAGCGCGCGCAGGCGGUUUCUUAAGUCUGAUGUGAAAGCCCACGGCUCAACCGUGGAGGGUCAUUGGAAACUGGGGAACUUGAGUGCAGAAGAGAAAAGCGGAAUUCCACGUGUAGCGGUGAAAUGCGUAGAGAUGUGGAGGAACACCAGUGGCGAAGGCGGCUUUUUGGUCUGUAACUGACGCUGAGGCGCGAAAAGCGUGGGGAGCAAACAGG
This 254-nucleotide ribosomal RNA is filed under the name uncultured bacterium. RNAcentral describes it as "partial 16S ribosomal RNA". It matches the Rfam family "Bacterial small subunit ribosomal RNA", at positions 524 to 776 of the family's 1533-position model. The record is from RNAcentral.